RNAcentral lists this ribosomal RNA (772 nucleotides) under Rhodoferax sp. RNAcentral's name for it is "bacterial SSU rRNA". It matches the Rfam family "Bacterial small subunit ribosomal RNA", at positions 19 to 786 of the family's 1533-position model. Lineage: Bacteria; Pseudomonadati; Pseudomonadota; Betaproteobacteria; Burkholderiales; Comamonadaceae. The record is from RNAcentral.
CUGGCUCAGAUUGAACGCUGGCGGCAUGCCUUACACAUGCAAGUCGAACGGCAGCACGGGAGCAAUCCUGGUGGCGAGUGGCGAACGGGUGAGUAAUAUAUCGGAACGUGCCCAGUCGUGGGGGAUAACGCAGCGAAAGCUGUGCUAAUACCGCAUACGAUCUACGGAUGAAAGCGGGGGAUCGCAAGACCUCGCGCGAUUGGAGCGGCCGAUAUCAGAUUAGCUAGUUGGUGGGGUAAAGGCCCACCAAGGCGACGAUCUGUAGCUGGUCUGAGAGGACGACCAGCCACACUGGAACUGAGACACGGUCCAGACUCCUACGGGAGGCAGCAGUGGGGAAUUUUGGACAAUGGGCGCAAGCCUGAUCCAGCAAUGCCGCGUGCAGGAUGAAGGCCUUCGGGUUGUAAACUGCUUUUGUACGGAACGAAACGGUCUGCCCUAAUACGGUGGGCUAAUGACGGUACCGUAAGAAUAAGCACCGGCUAACUACGUGCCAGCAGCCGCGGUAAUACGUAGGGUGCGAGCGUUAAUCGGAAUUACUGGGCGUAAAGCGUGCGCAGGCGGUUAUAUAAGACAGAUGUGAAAUCCCCGGGCUCAACCUGGGACCUGCAUUUGUGACUGUAUAGCUAGAGUACGGUAGAGGGGGAUGGAAUUCCGCGUGUAGCAGUGAAAUGCGUAGAUAUGCGGAGGAACACCGAUGGCGAAGGCAAUCCCCUGGACCUGUACUGACGCUCAUGCACGAAAGCGUGGGGAGCAAACAGGAUUAGAUACC